This 264-nucleotide long non-coding RNA is filed under the name Elaeis guineensis (African oil palm). RNAcentral's name for it is "long non-coding RNA (EGUI_LNC082300)". The record is from RNAcentral. Lineage: Eukaryota; Viridiplantae; Streptophyta; Magnoliopsida; Arecales; Arecaceae.
CUCUUCUAGCGGUUCUAGAAGUUCGUCAGCUCUAGUUUCUCAGAGUCCUUGUACCAUAGACGGACCCGUAGUCGGGACCGAACCUCAUCUGGUCUUUGCACCGGACACCAUCUCCAGGUCUUUGACUCCAGAUGAACUCUCACUGAUAAGGAUUCAGUAUGGAGUUCCUCUGGAGUAUGAGCUGGAGCUUCCCGGGCCAACUGACCGGGCUAGCGCCCCUCCUCCCGGCCACUUCUGUCUGUAUCAGGGGGCCUUCCGUGCCGG